GAUACCUCCAGGAGAGUAUCUUUAUGACCUAAGGGGUUAAAAAGAAUUUCUUAGAAAAGAUGCAAAAAACACAACUCAGGAGUGAAAAGAUUGAUAAAUUUGAGUAAGUUUACAUAUUAUGAUUUACGGAUGUAAUGUAUAAGAAUAUGGCCUAGCGCUAUACACAGAGAUGUUGCCUCUGGACAGAGGGAGCGGGGAGGAUGAGACAUUAUUUUAUCCAUAAUGUUAAAAGCAACGAAAUGUUGACAUUGGUUAAUUCUGGAUGGUGGGAACGUGAGAGCUUGUUAUAUUUAUAAAUAUUUUUGGAUUUAAAUUUAUUUUCAAGAAAAGACAAAGAGUGCCUGCUGUGGCAGCAUAUUGACUGAAAAAGGAAACCGAGAGCAUCUACCAAGCCAGAUCAGCAUGCAAUGUGGAAGCGACAUUUGUGUCAGGGGAAAUGCCUGGCCCCAAAAGACUGAUUCUGGCGCUGGCCCUGCCGUCAACGAGCUGUGUCCAUGGGUCAGGACCUUCCCUCUCGGAGCCUUUCCACUCUGGAAAACAAGAGGAUGGAACUGACUCCCUGCUGAAGACUGCUCCUUUACCAGCUCACAUUUUCUCUUCUCUCCAUAGGAGAGGUUACAACAACUACAGGGGCAGAGAAGGAAGAAUGGAUGGAGAAGAGCAUUCUCGUAAGCAGAAGCUCUACAUGAGUGCAUGGAAACUAUUAGCGCUUCCCCAACUCUGCUGCUGCCAUGAUUUGUGUCUGAGCCACACCAAGGCUUGGCUGCAACCAACACAACCACCCAGAGGAGAAAAGUCUGUAACCACGUUUAACCGUGAUCCCCGCAACGCUCCAAUAUCUUAAAAUGCAGCCAGCCUGUUCUGCCCUUGGAGCACAGCUCAGCUGCUGUCUGGGUGAAGGU
Molecule: long non-coding RNA, 902 nt
Filed under: Equus asinus (donkey)
Lineage: Eukaryota; Metazoa; Chordata; Mammalia; Perissodactyla; Equidae
Description: lncRNA (ENSEASG00005033554.1)
Source: RNAcentral